This 301-nucleotide ribosomal RNA is filed under the name uncultured bacterium. Its description in RNAcentral is "partial 16S ribosomal RNA". It matches the Rfam family "Bacterial small subunit ribosomal RNA", at positions 509 to 808 of the family's 1533-position model. The record is from RNAcentral.
CAGUCGCCGCGGGAAUACGAAGGGUGCAAGCGUUACUCGGAAUUACUGGGCGUAAAGCGUGCGUAGGUGGUGGUUUAAGUCCGUUGUGAAAGCCCUGGGCUCAACCUGGGAAUUGCAGUGGAUACUGGGUCACUAGAGUGUGGUAGAGGAUAGUGGAAUUUCCGGUGUAGCAGUGAAAUGCGUAGAGAUCGGAAGGAACAUCUGUGGCGAAGGCGACUAUCUGGGCCAACACUGACACUGAGGCACGAAAGCGUGGGGAGCAAACAGGAUUAGAUACCCCUGUAGUCCCUGUCUCUUAACA